Cynocephalus volans (Philippine flying lemur) is the source of this 322-nucleotide long non-coding RNA. RefSeq lists it as uncharacterized. The transcript is spliced from 3 exons. Lineage: Eukaryota; Metazoa; Chordata; Mammalia; Dermoptera; Cynocephalidae. The record is from RefSeq and is a predicted model, not a curated record.
GAGGGAACCCAGCUGUCUGGACACCGCCAUAGCCCGCGAGAAUUCCUGCUGGACAACAGACGUCUGAUCGCGACUCUUCCUGCAACUUGAAACUGGUCUACAGAGAGAAGAGAAAAUUUGCUCUAUGGUUAUCACAUUGGAGAGAUAUGAUAUCUAAAAACCGAAGAGAUUCAUGUUGUUUGGUUGAAUCAACCCAUAGGCCAAGUUAUCCAUCCUCCAUCAACACAGCUCACAGGGAUCCACGAUUCAGACUCUUUGGCCAAGAAUAGUGACAACUGGGUCAUGACACUAAGGCCUCCUAAAAUGAAAUGCUAACCUGUCG